This is a long non-coding RNA of Gambusia affinis (western mosquitofish), 794 nucleotides long. RefSeq lists it as uncharacterized. Lineage: Eukaryota; Metazoa; Chordata; Actinopteri; Cyprinodontiformes; Poeciliidae. The record is from RefSeq and is a predicted model, not a curated record. The transcript is spliced from 3 exons.
CGAAGACCUGAUGAAACCCUUGUUUAAUUAACUUUGCUAACAAAGCUUUUCUGGUUAUGUUUGGUUAAAACUGGUAAUCUGGCACCAAGUGGACGUUGUUUCCAAUAAACCUGAUUACCUCUCAGAUAUUACUCCGCCAUUUGAGGACUUGAUGAGCUUCUGUCCUGGGAAAAUUACAUGCAUGUGGCUUUGGAUUGAUGGAUGAAUGCAGAGCCCCGAGGCAACAAUUUCAACUUACAAAAAUGAGGUGGAGUUGCGUCUGCUGAGGCGCAGAGGGCAUCAUGGUACGUUUAUCGACUGGAAGGUGACUUUCUGCAAGCGGCGCUGCUCCCUGCUGACCAGCAGCGCUCUGGGUGCAGGACUCAACGCCCGACGCGCCUCGCUGGGUCUUUCUCCCUCGGCUUGGAAAAAACGGCUCCAUGUUUAGACUUUUUGUUGGCCAUAAACAAAAAACAUUACACUUGGGGUUAAUUGCCCUGAGCUCACCAUCACACCCCCAUCAACUGUUUUUCAUUUACCCAGAACAUUCUGCUGGUCUGUGCACCUUUGGGAAGUUGGGAAAAUUUCACUCCGGUACUUUUGGGAGGUUGUUAAAAUUCCAGGUAAAGUGGUGAUAAAAACUAAAAUAUAUGGAUUUUCAGUGUUUUUUUUUUCAGUUUUAUUGCUGGCAUAUUAUAAAAUGACAUUUAAGAGUUAACAGAGCAUUUCCUCUUGAACAAAUGUUUGAUAUUUUCUUGAACAGGUUUUGUUUUUUCAAAUACUAAGAAGCUGAAAAUAACUCAUUUACAGAAGAG